Molecule: long non-coding RNA, 322 nt
Filed under: Lactuca sativa (garden lettuce)
Lineage: Eukaryota; Viridiplantae; Streptophyta; Magnoliopsida; Asterales; Asteraceae
Description: long non-coding RNA (LSAT_LNC006060)
Source: RNAcentral
CUUAACCACGGCUUGUUUUGGAGCCAAAGCCCGAGCCUUGGCUUGUCCUCUAACUGUUGCAAUCUGCACUUUUGGUAGCUGAAUGUUGUUCUUCUUAACCGCUGAUGCGAACCCUGAGCUCAGUUUAUCCCAUGACAUGGCUAACCCUGGUGCACCAUUUUGAUCCUCCGAGGUUUCUUCUUCUUUUUCUUCUUUUUCAGGUUCCUGGGUCACGGAUUUGAAUCGAUCCAUGAGUUCUGUGAAUGAUUUUCGGGCUGCUGUUGUCGCCUUCUCUUGAACAUCUUCUGCUAAACUCGGUGUUGCAGUUGCAGCCUCCUCUUUU